This 368-nucleotide ribosomal RNA is filed under the name uncultured Denitrovibrio sp. RNAcentral's name for it is "bacterial SSU rRNA". It matches the Rfam family "Bacterial small subunit ribosomal RNA", at positions 1017 to 1382 of the family's 1533-position model. The record is from RNAcentral. Lineage: Bacteria; Pseudomonadati; Deferribacterota; Deferribacteres; Deferribacterales; Geovibrionaceae.
CUUUGAACGGAACUUAGAGACAGGUGCUGCAUGGCUGUCGUCAGCUCGUGCCGUGAGGUGUUGGGUUAAGUCCCGCAACGAGCGCAACCCUAUUUUUAGUUGCCAUCAGGUUAAGCUGGGCACUCUAAGAGACUGCCGUCGAUAAGGCGGAGGAAGGUGGGGACGACGUCAAGUCAUCAUGGCCCUUAUGUCUAGGGCUACACACGUGCUACAAUGGGUUAUACAGAGGGCAGCUAGCUCGCGAGAGUCUGACGAAUCCCUUAAAGUAAUCCUCAGUUCGGAUUGUAGUCUGCAACUCGACUACAUGAAGUUGGAAUCGCUAGUAAUCGCAGGUCAGCAAAACUGCGGUGAAUACGUUCCCGGGCCUU